GACGGAGGCUAUUCUGGCUUCAAUUGGUGACAGACCACUGAUUGUAUCCGGAGACGCACGCUGAGAUGCGCGAGGCCACUGUGCCUCCUACACAGUGGCUCCUACACCAUCCUGGACUGCUUCUCAUCUGAUCCUCACCCAGGAGACAUGGGACCGAUGUGAAGAACAGCUACUGGUUGGAGACAGAGGGUUUAGAGAGAUGCCUGCAACAUAUUGAGGUAAGCUAUAAGCAUGUUCUUUAUUUAAAAAAAUGUAUAUCGUUAUGCAAUGUGUAGGCCUACAUUAGGUACCUUUAGUAACAAUGCUUUUUAUUAUCAUCCUAACAGGCCCAUGGAUGCGUAGUUUAAACUCUGACCACCUGACAGGCAUCCAAGUGUGAGGGUGUUCUUGAGGGACUCCAAUCCUCAUAUCUGGCAUGAGUACUACCUGUGGCACAAUGCGAAAGGUGUGAGGAAACAGCUGUUGGCCAUCGCGAAGCCAGAGGUACUGCCAUGGGUGAGGGCAAUCACACACCACUUGGGAUACUGUGCCACCACUGCUGGUGUAAGAGUCCAGCUGGCGAAGGAAAAGGGGAUCACUGUAGUUCACCACAUCACAUAUGAGCACCCGCAACAGACCUCUCCCCCUACACACCUGAAGAGGAAGAAACACGACCCUGGCUGAUCACAGCAUCACCAGCUUUUGAGAAAGUGAGAAACAUCAUCCCCAACUUGAGAUUGCUAAAGGAUCUCUGUAAAUACACUACAUGUCCAAGAGUAUGUGGACACCUGCUUGUCGAACAUCUCCUUCCAAAGACAUGGGCAUCAAUAUAGAGUUGGUCUCCCUUUUGCUGCUAUAACAGCCUCCAUUCUUCUGGGAAGGCUUUCCACUAGAUGUUGAAACAUCGCUGCAGGGACUUGCUUCCAUUCAGCCACAAGAACAUUAGUGAGGUCGGGCAAUGAUGUUGGGCGAUUAGGUCUGGCUCGCAGU
This 969-nucleotide long non-coding RNA is filed under the name Oncorhynchus kisutch (coho salmon). RNAcentral's name for it is "lncRNA (ENSOKIG00005046810.1)". Lineage: Eukaryota; Metazoa; Chordata; Actinopteri; Salmoniformes; Salmonidae. The record is from RNAcentral.